UCUGCUUCGUGACGCGGAGCCAAGAGUUCGACAUCUACACGCAGUACUGCAACAACUACCCCAACUCGGUGGCGACGUUAAGCGAGUGCAUGAGGAGCAAGCAGCAGGCACGGUUUUUCCGUGAGUGCCAGGAGGAGAUGCGGCACGUGCUCCCGCUGGGUGCCUACCUGCUGAAGCCGGUGCAGAGGAUCCUCAAGUACCACCUGCUGCUCCAGGUGAGCACGCGUGGGGCGGGCGCCGGGCACAGCACGGGCACCUGGUGUGCCGGGAGCACGUGGCGUGGCAUUUGGCAAGGCGUGGGGCGCGGCCGGGG
RNAcentral lists this long non-coding RNA (313 nucleotides) under Gallus gallus (chicken). RNAcentral's name for it is "long non-coding RNA NONGGAT007346". Lineage: Eukaryota; Metazoa; Chordata; Aves; Galliformes; Phasianidae. The record is from RNAcentral.